This 501-nucleotide ribosomal RNA is filed under the name Fomitopsis meliae. Its description in RNAcentral is "partial small subunit ribosomal RNA". It matches the Rfam family "Bacterial small subunit ribosomal RNA", at positions 433 to 939 of the family's 1533-position model. Lineage: Eukaryota; Fungi; Basidiomycota; Agaricomycetes; Polyporales; Fomitopsidaceae. The record is from RNAcentral.
AUAUAGUAAGGGAAAACAUAUGAUAUUACUUUACUUAUAGUGUUGUCUAAUUCUGGUGCCAGAAGACUCGGUAAUACCAGUAACGCGAACGUUAGUCAUCUUUAUCAGGCGUAAAGGGUUUGUAGGCAGCUUUUAAAAAAAAGUCUAAACUAUAUUGUCCUUUUUUAAAAAAAAAAGAAUUAAUAGUUAAGUCUCUAAUUUGAGAGCUAGAAUCAAAUAGAAGUUAAAAAGUAUAAUACUUAGAGAAGGGUUGAUAUUCUUAGAACCUAAGGGGAAUACUAAAGGUGUAAACAACUAACUAUAAAUGAUUGACGCUGAGACACGAAGGUGAGGAUAGGAAAUAGGAUUAGAUACCCCGGUACCCCUCUCUGUAAACGAUGAAUGGUAGUUAUUAGUGUAUUACUGGUAACGAUGCUAACGCGUUAACCAUUCCGCCUUGGGAGUACGAUUGCAAAGUUGAAAACAAAAAAAUUAGUCGGUCUCGGAGCAAACGGAGUGAAG